RNAcentral lists this ribosomal RNA (506 nucleotides) under uncultured bacterium. RNAcentral describes it as "partial 16S ribosomal RNA". It matches the Rfam family "Bacterial small subunit ribosomal RNA", at positions 29 to 523 of the family's 1533-position model. The record is from RNAcentral.
AGUGAACGCUGGCGGUAGGCCUAACACAUGCAAGUCGAACGGCAGCACAGGAGAGCUUGCUCUCUGGGUGGCGAGUGGCGGACGGGUGAGGAAUACAUCGGAAUCUACUCUGUCGUGGGGGAUAACGUAGGGAAACUUACGCUAAUACCGCAUACGACCUACGGGUGAAAGCAGGGGAUCUUCGGACCUUGCGCGAUUGAAUGAGCCGAUGUCGGAGUAGCUAGUUGGCGGGGUAAAGGCCCACCAAGGCGACGAUCCGUAGCUAGUCUGAGAGGAUGAUCAGCCACACUGGAACUGAGACACGGUCCAGACUCCUACGGGAGGCAGCAGUGGGGAAUAUUGGACAAUGGGCGCAAGCCUGAUCCAGCCAUACCGUGUGGGUGAAGAAGGCCUUCGGGUUGUAAAGCCCUUCUGUUGGGAAAGAAAUCCAGCUGGCUAAUACCCGGUUGGGAUGACGGUACCCAAAGAAUAAGCACCGGCUAACUUCGUGCCAGCCGCCGCAGUAA